GGGGUUAUAUAGCACAUAGUUUUAACAAUGCAUGAAUGUGUUUAACAGUGUUCCCCUUCAACUUGUCCUCGAACCAGAGACCCUCUGAACACCCGAGAAACUGUCGCCCAUGAAGCAUCAUUACCUAUCGCUCCACUAAAAGCCGCGGUCCUGGCGGAGCGAAGGAAACAACUACUUUCAAGGUCUCAAAGUGGGUGACGUCACUGAUUGAACGCUACUAGCGCACAUUUAGUACUUGGCUACUUUAGUGCUUGUCUGUCUUCAGCUUCUGGGUCAGCUAUAAGAGGUGUAUUGUCUGUCUUCAGCUUCUGGGUCAGCUAUAAGAGGUGUAUUGUCUGUCUUCAGCUUCUGGGUCAGCUAUAAGAGGUGUAUUGUCAGUCUUCAGCUUCUGGGUUAGCUAUAAGAGGUGUAUUGUCUGUCUUCAGCUUCUGGGUCAGCUAUAAGAGGUGUAUUGUCAGUCUUCAGCUUCUGGGUUAGCUAUAAGAGGUGUAUUGUCUGUCUUCAGCUUCUGGGUCAGCUAUAAGAGGUGUAUUGUCAGUCUUCAGCUUCUGGGUUAGCUAUAAGAGGUGUAUUGUCUGUCUUCAGCUUCUGGGUCAGCUAUAAGAGGUGUAUUGUCUGUCUUCAGCUUCUGGGUCAGCUAUAAGAGGUGUAUUGUCAGUCUUCUGCUUCUGGGUCAGCUAUAAGAGGUGUAUUGUCUGUCUUCAGCUUCUGGGUCAGCUAUAAGAGGUGUAUUGUCAGUCUUCAGCUUCUGGGUCAGCUAUAAGAGGUGUAUUGUCAGUCUUCAGCUUCUGGGUCAGCUAUAAGAGGUGUAUUGUCUGUCUUCAGCUUCUGGGUCAGCUAUAAGAGGUGUAUUGUCAGUCUUCAGCUUCUGGGUCAGCUAUAAGAGGUGUAUUGUCUGUCUUCAGCUUCUGGGUCAGCUAUAAGAGGUGUAUUGUCUGUCUUCAGCUUCUGGGUCAGCUAUAAGAGGUGUAUUGUCAGUCUUCAGCUUCUGGGUCAGCUAUAAGAGGUGUAUUGUCAGUCUUCAGCUUCUGGGUCAGCUAUAAGAGGUGUAUUGUCUGUCUUCAGCUUCUGGGUCAGCUAUAAGAGGUGUAUUGUCUGUCUUCAGCUUCUGGGUCAGCUAUAAGAGGUGUAUUGUCUGUCUUCAGCUUCUGGGUCAGCUAUAAGAGGUGUAUUGUCUGUCUUCAGCUUCUGGGUCAGCUAUAAGAGGUGUAUUAUCUGUCUCCAGCUUCUGGGUCAGCUAUAAGAGGUGUAUGGUCUGUCUUCAGCUUCUGGGUCAGCUAUAAGAGGUGUAUUGUCUGUCUCCAGCUUCUGGGUCAGCUAUAAGAGGUGUACAUUAGGUAGGAUCUCCGUGAAUUGGCCAAUGAAAAGUCCUCAAUGGAUGUGAAUUACUUUGACUCGCCUGUGUCUUCCUGUAACUAUGGUAACACUUAUCUGAAU
Oncorhynchus keta (chum salmon) is the source of this 1437-nucleotide long non-coding RNA. RefSeq lists it as uncharacterized. The transcript is spliced from 6 exons. Lineage: Eukaryota; Metazoa; Chordata; Actinopteri; Salmoniformes; Salmonidae. The record is from RefSeq and is a predicted model, not a curated record.